AACGAACGCUGGCGGCAGGCUUAACACAUGCAAGUCGAACGCAUCCUUCGGGGUGAGUGGCAGACGGGUGAGUAACGCGUGGGAACGUGCCCUUCAGUUCGGGAUAACCCAGGGAAACUUGGGCUAACACCAGAUACGUGCGAGAGCAGAGAGUUUUAUCGCUGGAGGAUCCGCCCCCGUUUGAUUAGCUAGUUGGGGGGGUAAUGGCCAACCAAGGCGACGAUCAGUAGCUGGUCUGAGAGGAUGAUCAGCCAAAUUGGGACUGUGACACGGCCCAAACUCCUACGGGAGGCAGCAGUGGGGAAUAUUGGACAAUGGGCGCAAGCCUGAUCCAGCCAUGCCGCGUGAGUGAUGAAGGCCUAGGGUUGUAAAGCUCUUUCGUCCGGGACGAUAAUGACGGUACCGGAAGAAGAAGCCCCGGCUAACUUCGUGCCAGCCGCCGCGGUAA
Molecule: ribosomal RNA, 448 nt
Filed under: uncultured bacterium
Lineage: Bacteria
Description: partial 16S ribosomal RNA
Rfam family: Bacterial small subunit ribosomal RNA
Source: RNAcentral